This is a long non-coding RNA of Juglans regia (Persian walnut), 803 nucleotides long. RefSeq lists it as uncharacterized. The transcript has 4 exons. NCBI's taxonomy places the organism in Eukaryota, Viridiplantae, Streptophyta, Magnoliopsida, Fagales, Juglandaceae. The record is from RefSeq and is a predicted model, not a curated record.
ACCGUUCCCAAAACUUUCCCCCUACGCGAUACUUCCCAGUUCCCGCCCCCUUUCUCUCACUCUCUCUGCUGUUCUCGACUGCGAUUGUCGACUCCGGUGCUAUUGUCGCCACCAUCUCGCCGCCUCGUCGACACCGGUGAGCUUGUAUUUCAGAUUAUUGGUCUCCAUCCAUCUCUCUCUCUCUCUCGUCUUCGCAAAGUGGUUUCCGAUUGCCCAGUGCCGCCAUCUUCUCGCCAACCCCAGAGCAAGUGGCCCAGGAAAUUCAGCUCGAAAUUCAUAACUCAGCUGCUUUUCAUCUCUUUUGCAGGAGGAACACAGAGUUGGUUGAAAGUGACAGCUGAGAUGCUCGGAUUUCCAGGCCUCAUGCGUGUUAUAUAUUGACAAGCAAAGGAAUGGCUGCUAUGAUUGGUGUUUGUCGAGAUGGAAAUGUGAAAUAUCCCACGAGUAUAAGGGAGUUGAUGCAAUCUUGUAAGGAGCUGUUUUGCUGACCUCUCAUGCCCAGAUGCAUAUUGUUAGAUCUGACUAGAUAUAAUUUAUAAAGAUGGAGGAGCAGUACAUUUGACAUAUUGUGAAUGAUAUAUGUAUUCUCAAUAUUUAGUAGUUAAGUUGUAAGUUUUGGGUUUCGAUUGGUCCACCCCAGUGUAUAUAGCCCAUAACUACAUUAAUGUGAAUUCCCCACCUCAAUGGAUGAAUUGAAUGUCAUUAAUUUAUGUAAUUAGAUGGAAAUGGUUUGAAAAGGUCUAUCAUGGAAUCCUACAUGUUCGGUCAGACAUAUAUAGUGCAAGUUCAAUCUUUUUCCUUUA